AGACAUGAAGUGACCCAGUUCCUGCCCCUGGAGGAGACAGAAGAAGGGAUGGGGAAAGGAGACCAGGCCUCCUAGCUCUGCCUCAAGCCUACCAACACAAGGCUUUCCAGCCCCAGACGCAGACAACAAUGGGGUGAGGAGCUUCCUGGCUGGCCUGGAGCUCGGGGGACCCAAAUUCCUGCAGGGAACUGCUUCCAGCGGCUGCGCCUCUCUGCGUGAUAUGAAGAGACCAUGGGAUGUGGAAGCCUUGCCAGGAGGUUGAACACCAGCCCUCUGGCUGCUCACCCUGCAGGGCACCCCUGCAUUAGGUGUGACUUGGGGACUCGUUUUCUCUGCUUUGUGGAUGGCGUCCAGGCUGCUCUCUGCAGCAAAGGGACCAUCCAGCUGGAGAACCUCUGCAAGGAGCCUUCUGCAGACACCUCGGCAGGAUGCUUCCUGCCAGCGCGCUGCCCAGAAACUGCACAAUCACGCCUGCCUCCACAGCACCGCCAGCCAGAGAUUUCAAGGGAGCUGACUUCUCUUGCAAUGGUGCUUGAGCAACUGCCUGACUCCAAAAGCAGCCCUUUGAGCCUGAGUUGCCUGGGUUCCUGUGCUCACCAGGGGAGGAGACAGCUUGGGGAGAUA
Molecule: long non-coding RNA, 624 nt
Filed under: Anser brachyrhynchus (Pink-footed goose)
Lineage: Eukaryota; Metazoa; Chordata; Aves; Anseriformes; Anatidae
Description: lncRNA (ENSABRG00000004489.1)
Source: RNAcentral